GGUGGAGCGGUGGAAUGCGUAGAUAUCAAGAGGAAUGCCAGUGGUGAAGACGGCGCACUGGGCUUGUCCUGACGCUGAGACACGAAAGCGUGGGUAGCGAACGGGAUUAGAUACCCCGGUAGUCCACGCCGUAAACGAUGUCUACUAGGUGUUGGAAAUUCUGACAUUUUCAAGACCGAAGCAAAAGUGUUAAGUAGACCGCCUGGGGAGUACGGUCGCAAGGCUAAAACUCAAAGGAAUUGACGGGGGCUCAUACAAGCGGUGGAGCAUGUGGAUUAAUUCGAAGCAACGCGCAGGACCUUACCUGGGUUUGACAUGUUUGUAUGCCUAUCUGGAAACAGAGCCGGCUGCCUUAGGGUGAAACUUACACAGGUGCUGCAUGGCUGUCGUCAGCUCGUGUCGUGAGAUGUCGGGUUAAGUCCUUUAACGAGCGAAACCCCUACCGUUAGUUGCCAGCGCGUCAUGGCGGGGACUCUAACGGGACUGCCGGUGUUAAACCGGAGGAAGGUGGGGAUGACGUCAAGUCCUCAUGGCCUUUAUGCCCAGGGCUUCACACGUGCUACAAUGGUGACUACAGAGCGACGCGAUACCGCGAGGUGGAGCAAAUCGCACAAAAGUCAUCUCAGUCCGGAUUGCAGUCUGUCAACUCGGCUGCAUGAAGUUGGAAUCGCGUAGUAAUCGCGUAUCAGCAAUGACGCGG
RNAcentral lists this ribosomal RNA (700 nucleotides) under uncultured Planctomycetales bacterium. RNAcentral describes it as "bacterial SSU rRNA". It matches the Rfam family "Bacterial small subunit ribosomal RNA", at positions 672 to 1362 of the family's 1533-position model. The record is from RNAcentral. Lineage: Bacteria; Pseudomonadati; Planctomycetota; Planctomycetia; Planctomycetales.